GUGAAUCAUCAAAUCUUUGAACGCAAAUUGCACUCUCCGGGUUUCCGGUAUAGUAUGCCUGUUUGAGUUUCAGCCUAAAAAAAAUCGGCAUUGUUGCUGUUUUAUGGUGACUUUCUUCGAAGAUGUUUUAUCUUAAAUCUCGGUUUAAGCAACUUAAAAAUUUUUUUACGAUUCUAGGAAUGUUUCUAAGUUUGUUCGUGUACGUUUAAGGUAUCGAAUGUCUUAUUGUACGUGGCCGUCAUAUCGUAUCUGGUCCAUAAUU
RNAcentral lists this unclassified non-coding RNA (262 nucleotides) under Glomeromycetes sp. RNAcentral's name for it is "partial internal transcribed spacer 2". The stretch from base 1 to 72 matches the Rfam family "5.8S ribosomal RNA", at positions 84 to 154 of the family's 154-position model. The record is from RNAcentral. Lineage: Eukaryota; Fungi; Glomeromycota; Glomeromycetes.